This 468-nucleotide ribosomal RNA is filed under the name uncultured bacterium. Its description in RNAcentral is "partial 16S ribosomal RNA". It matches the Rfam family "Bacterial small subunit ribosomal RNA", at positions 28 to 507 of the family's 1533-position model. The record is from RNAcentral.
GACGAACGCUGGCGGCGUGCUUAACACAUGCAAGUCGAACGGAAAGGCCCUGCUUUUGUGGGGUGCUCGAGUGGCGAACGGGUGAGUAACACGUGAGUAACCUGCCCUUGACUUUGGGAUAACUUCAGGAAACUGGGGCUAAUGCCGGAUAGGAGCUCCUGCUGCAUGGUGGGGGUUGGAAAGUUUCGGCGGUUGGGGAUGGACUCGCGGCUUAUCAGCUUGUUGGUGGGGUAGUGGCUUACCAAGGCUUUGACGGGUAGCCGGCCUGAGGGGGUGACCGGCCACAUUGGGACUGAGAUACGGCCCAGACUCCUACGGGAGGCAGCAGUGGGGAAUAUUGCACAAUGGGCGGAAGCCUGAUGCAGCAACGCCGCGUGCGGGAUGACGGCCUUCGGGUUGUAAACCGCUUUCGCCUGUGACGAAGCGUGAGUGACGGUAAUGGGUAAAGAAGCACCGGCUAACUACGUG